RNAcentral lists this ribosomal RNA (207 nucleotides) under uncultured bacterium. RNAcentral describes it as "partial 16S ribosomal RNA". It matches the Rfam family "Bacterial small subunit ribosomal RNA", at positions 568 to 774 of the family's 1533-position model. The record is from RNAcentral.
AGCGUAGACGGCACGGCAAGCCAGAUGUGAAAGCCCGGGGCUCAACCCCGGGACUGCAUUUGGAACUGCUGAGCUAGAGUGUCGGAGAGGCAAGUGGAAUUCCUAGUGUAGCGGUGAAAUGCGUAGAUAUUAGGAGGAACACCAGUGGCGAAGGCGGCUUACUGGACGGUAACUGACGUUGAGGCUCGAAAGCGUGGGGAGCAAACA